AAUAGAUACCCUGGUAGUCCUGGCCGUAAACGAUGAGCACUGGAUCGAGGACUCCCCCAUAGGUUCUCGGUCGUAGCGAAAGUGUUAAGUGCUCCGCCUGGGGAGUAUGGCCGCAAGGCUGAAACUCAAAGGAAUUGACGGGGGCUCACACAAGCGGUGGAGGAUGUGGCUUAAUUCGAGGCUACGCGAAGAACCUUAUCCAGGCCUUGACAUGUACGGAUUAACCUUAUGAAAGUAGGGCCACGCCUUCGGGUGGAACGUACACAGGUGCUGCAUGGCUGUCGUCAGCUCGUGUCGUGAGAUGUCGGGUUAAGUCCCUUAACGAGCGAAACCCUUGUCUCUAGUUGCCAGCGCGUAAUGGCGGGGACUCUAGAGAGACUGCCGGUGUUAAACCGGAGGAAGGUGGGGAUGACGUCAAGUCCUCAUGGCCUUUAUGGCCUGGGCUGCACACGUCCUACAAUGGCGCAUACAAAGGGAAGCAAGCUCGCGAGAGUUAGCAAAUCCCAUAAAGUGCGCCCCAGUUCGGAUUGCAGG
Molecule: ribosomal RNA, 534 nt
Filed under: uncultured bacterium
Lineage: Bacteria
Description: bacterial SSU rRNA
Rfam family: Bacterial small subunit ribosomal RNA
Source: RNAcentral